GACAUAAGCCUUCCCCAUAAGCAGAGUUUUGCCAAUCGUUGCCACGCUUGGCAAGCGAGUUGGCAAUCGCAGUUCGGCUUUUAGAUAUAUUUUAAGAGGGACGCUGGUGCCCAUUCCCCGCCACCCCUAAUCGCCUUUUACAACAUCCACAGGAAGGGAAGGGGUGGCCCAUUUUAUACCGUGUGUAUUCCUAUGCCAAUAUAACAUUACUAUUGUUUAUUAUUCUAACUGUAUUAUUUAUUUAUUCUUUAUUGCACAAUAAAACUUUGUACAAGUGGCGAGCUUAAUGCCAUAUGACAUUCUCUACCAGCUAACCAUUAGGUAAAAACAGAAAGCGUAUAAAAGACUAUUAUUGUUUUAUGUAGUUUAGGAUAGCGGACAAGCUGAGAAUGGUAACCGUCGCCAAUGAAAAUGAACAUUAUAUUGUCUGUGAUGUGCAUAGUAUCUUUUACAUAUUAUCAUUCCUAAGUAUUACCACAGAUAAUAUAAUAAUAUGUACUACUAUUGAUAUUAUGUCUCCGUACCUUGUGUUAGUUACCUAGUUAUGAAGAAAAUUUGAUAUAAAUGUACGCUUUCGCAACUUGAUACGUGCUCAAACGUCAGUUUUAAAAUUUAUAAAAAAAAAAAUAAUUAACGUAAUGAGCAAUACUAUAUUGCUAAUAACCAGUGUGGUAAUUUAUUACAGGUAGGUAUAUAAAUACUUUAUGAAAAUCUAAAUUCAUAAGUGUUUGUUUAAAGUGUAAAGUAGAAGCAUGACUACAAAACUUGUCAUUUGUCUCUCCAUUUUAUUUGCCGUCAGUUUUUGCACUGUAUCUUGCCAGUACGGUUAUGGGAACCCGGCAAUGCAUGGAGGCUAUGGACCACCUCCUCCUAUCAUCAUAACAAAAGGAGGUGGUGGAAGUCGUGAUAUGAUGUACCCGCUUUUGUUAUUGCUAUUAUUAGAUGGUGAUUUCUAAUGAAUGUCUUUUAUUGUAAUAAAUACACCUGAUUACAUAA
Galleria mellonella (greater wax moth) is the source of this 996-nucleotide long non-coding RNA. RefSeq lists it as uncharacterized. NCBI's taxonomy places the organism in Eukaryota, Metazoa, Arthropoda, Insecta, Lepidoptera, Pyralidae. The transcript is spliced from 2 exons. The record is from RefSeq and is a predicted model, not a curated record.